Molecule: long non-coding RNA, 2005 nt
Filed under: Olea europaea subsp. europaea
Lineage: Eukaryota; Viridiplantae; Streptophyta; Magnoliopsida; Lamiales; Oleaceae
Rfam family: mir-160 microRNA precursor family (bases 461-547)
Source: RNAcentral
UCCCAACCCUACACUCUCCUUCUUUUCCUCACAUGGAAACCCCACAGCAAAAUUAAAGCCUUUGGUUUUAUUAGACCAUGCAUGUUUCGUGCCAUUUGAAUAUGGUGAUUUUUUCUUUUUCUUUUUCAUCAAUGGAUUAAACAGUUUGUGGGGUUUUCUUGAGUUUUUUUCAUUAAUUUUUUGACCCAGAUUGAUCUUUCAAUCUCUGUUCUCCUCCCUUUAUAUACCAUUCCUUAAUCAUGUUUCUCCCCACCAAUACCUUCACCUAUCUCUAUUUAUGAGUGUGUUUAUAUAUCUGCUUCCGACUUGAGGCUGUUCAGAGUUCAACCUUGAUUUGUUAAGAUUAUGAAUGAUAGGUACGAAAAUUGCAUUCCAUUUUCCGAGCCAAAAAAAAUACAAAAAUACAAAAAUUAUUGAUGUUUAUGAGCAUGUAGUCAUGUACAUACGUACAUAUAUACGUAUAUGCCUGGCUCCCUGUAUGCCAUUUGCAGAGUCCACCAGAAAAUCGAUGGCCCUCCGUGGAUGGCGUAUGAGGAGCCAAGCAUAUUCACAAAUCGUAUAUAUGAAUCCAAUUUUUUAGGCUUUCAUUUCUCAGUAUCCCAUAUUCUCAAUCCUCCUGCACAAUAUACACCAGGUAAAUAACUACUUUUCCCCCCACCCUGCCACAAUAUUUUUACAGUAUUUUGUAGUACAUAAUAUGCUUCAUUUUCUGGGAAAUGUUUCCAACUUUUCCAUGUGGGUUCUCUCAGAUCAUUUUAUAUGACACAGUUUCCGAUGAGGCAUCGAACAUAUGUGUGUAUAAAAAACAACAUAAAAGUUACAACCUCUGUUCUAUAGAACCUGAAUUGCAUGAAAAAUUAAUUUUUUCUUCAAAAUUCGGCAGUUUUGAUUGUAAUACAUAUCAAGAUGAAUCCCGGUUUCUGAUUCUUGGCAACAUUUGAAGACUGUUUAAUAUUUUUUUCCUGUUGCAUUGAUAAGAUCAAAUCCAGGUAGUCCACAGCCUUCCUGUCCUGUGUUUUUGUAGAGAAAACUGAAGCAGAUAUUUUCAGGUUCAUCUGCAUAAGAUUUAGGGGUGGGGUUUGAAGUUGGAGUAUAUGGGUUAUGAAGAAAGUAUAGACAGUGACGAUGGCUGCCAUAGCUAGAGAAUCUCAUGUACAAAUUGGACCACCCCACGCCUCUGUUGGUCAGUAAAGAAUAUAAUAUACGGUCAAAAAAGACAUAAAGAAAAGGGACCACCUUUACUAUCUCCUGAGACCAACUGGAUUUGGGAAGAUGCAAAAACUUUUAUCAACCAAACACUCACUUAUACCAAGGGACGGAAGGGGGAGAAAUUAAACCCUAGCCUACUAUGUCCAUGCAGAACAUUCCCCUGGAUAAUUCAGCUUUGUCUAAAAAGGAGAAAUUAGGAGCGUGGCUGCUUCACUUUUCUUUUAUAUUAAUAUGUUCAGGCUGUAUUUAAAGCAGAUUCUGUUCCCCAAACUUUAAUAUAUUGGACAAGCAAAUUUUGGAACGUGUUUGGUAAGUAAUACUUGAAUGUACAACAUGAAAUAGAUUCAAAAUUCUCUAAUCUAAGCUCAAUAUCCGGUUUCUAUCUUUUUCCUUUUUUUUUUUUCUUUUUUUUUUUCAAUUUAUUCUUGUAGGCACUCCUGGAGCAACAUCAGGGGAAAUAUAUGUUAUAUUACAUCUGAUUGUUAUUUUGGAAAUUAAUCAGUUUUUCUCUGAUUGGAGUCCUUGAUAGGAAGGAUGGUCUUUGUAUUUAAGAAUAUGCAACUUGUACAUAAUGCGGUGUCCACAUUAUCGAAGUGGGUCCCCUCCAUGUGGGCGGAGACACCGUUCUGGACACCCUGAUUUACGUGUGGUAUAACCCUUGUAUUUAUAAGAAGAAAUGAUGAAUAAAGGUCCAGUCUUAGCCACGUUAGACCAUCUUUAACAUACUCCCAAAAUUUAAGAUGCUCACUAUUUUUUACUGUCAAUAUUUAAAAAUUAGAAAUUUUAAAGUAGAUAG